AUUGAACGCUAGCGGGAUGCUUUACACAUGCAAGUCGAACGGCAGCGCGGACUUCGGUCUGGCGGCGAGUGGCGAACGGGUGAGUAAUGUAUCGGAACGUGACCAGUAGCGGGGGAUAACUACGCGAAAGCGUAGCUAAUACCGCAUACGCCCUACGGGGGAAAGCAGGGGAUCGUAAGACCUUGCACUAUUGGAGCGGCCGAUAUCGGAUUAGCUAGUUGGUGAGGUAACGGCUCACCAAGGCGACGAUCCGUAGCUGGUUUGAGAGGACGACCAGCCACACUGGGACUGAGACACGGCCCAGACUCCUACGGGAGGCAGCAGUGGGGAAUUUUGGACAAUGGGGGCAACCCUGAUCCAGCCAUCCCGCGUGUGCGAUGAAGGCCUUCGGGUUGUAAAGCACUUUUAGCAGGAAAGAAACGUCGCGGGCUAAUACCCCGUGGAACUGACGGUACCUGCAGAAUAAGCACCGGCUAACUACGUG
Molecule: ribosomal RNA, 484 nt
Filed under: uncultured bacterium
Lineage: Bacteria
Description: partial 16S ribosomal RNA
Rfam family: Bacterial small subunit ribosomal RNA
Source: RNAcentral